This 460-nucleotide ribosomal RNA is filed under the name uncultured bacterium. RNAcentral describes it as "partial 16S ribosomal RNA". It matches the Rfam family "Bacterial small subunit ribosomal RNA", at positions 338 to 795 of the family's 1533-position model. The record is from RNAcentral.
CCUACGGGUGGCAGCAGUGAGGAAUAUUGGGCAAUGGACGCAAGUCUGAACCAGCCAUGCCGCGUGCAGGAAGACGGCUCUAUGAGUUGUAAACUGCUUUUGUACGAGCGUAAAUCCUGACACGUGCAUCGGGUUGAAAGUAUCGUACGUAUAAGGAUCGGCUAACUCCGAGCCAGCAGCCGCGGUAAUACGGAGGAUUCAAGCGUUAUCCGGAUUUAUUGGGCUUAAAGGGUGCGUAGGCGGUUCGAUACGUUAGAGGUGAAAUCCCAGGGCUCAACUCCGGUACUGCCUCUGAUACUGUCGGGCUAGAGUGUAGUUGCGGUAGGCGGAAUGUAUGGUGUAGCGGUGAAAUGCAUAGAGAUCAUACAGAACACCGAUUGCGAAGGCAGCUUACCAAACUACGACUGACGUUGAGGCACGAAAGCGUGGGGAGCAAACAGGAUUAGAUACCCGAGUAGUC